GUGCUUGCUCCAGUAGCACAUAUGCGAUAAUUGGAACAAUACAGAGAAGAUUAGCAUGGCCCCCGUACAAGGAUGCCAUGCUAAUUUGUGAAGUGCUCCAUAUUUUU
RNAcentral lists this small nuclear RNA (107 nucleotides) under Mustela putorius furo (domestic ferret). Lineage: Eukaryota; Metazoa; Chordata; Mammalia; Carnivora; Mustelidae. The record is from RNAcentral.